GAUGAACGCUAGCUACAGGCUUAACACAUGCAAGUCGAGGGGAAACGGCAUUACGUGCUUGCACUUUUUGGACGUCGACCGGCGCACGGGUGAGUAACGCGUAUCCAACCUUCCCAUGACUAAGGGAUAACCUGCCGAAAGGCAGACUAAUACCUUAUGGUCUCCACUGACGGCAUCAGAUGUGAAGUAAAGAUUUAUCGGUUAUGGAUGGGGAUGCGUCUGAUUAGCUUGUUGGCGGGGUAACGGCCCACCAAGGCAACGAUCAGUAGGGGUUCUGAGAGGAAGGUCCACCACAUUGGAACUGAGACACGGUCCAAACUCCUACGGGAGGCAGGAGUGAGGAAUAUUGGUCAAGGGGCGAGAGCCUGAACCAGCCAAGUAGCGUGCAGGAUGACGGCCCUAUGGGUUGUAAACUGCUAUUGUAUGGGGAAAAAGUCAAUCACGUGUGAUUGUUUGCAGGUACCAUACGAAUAAGGACCGGCUAAUUCCGUG
This 492-nucleotide ribosomal RNA is filed under the name uncultured bacterium. RNAcentral's name for it is "partial 16S ribosomal RNA". It matches the Rfam family "Bacterial small subunit ribosomal RNA", at positions 28 to 507 of the family's 1533-position model. The record is from RNAcentral.